UGCCAGCCGCCGCGGUAAUACGAAGGUCCCAAGCGUUGUUCGGAAUCACUGGGCGUAAAGCGCGCGUAGGCGGACCAGAAAGUUAGGGGUGAAAUCCCAGGGCUCAACCCUGGAACUGCCUCUAAAACUCCUGGUCUUGAGAUCGAGAGAGGUGAGUGGAAUUCCGAGUGUAGAGGUGAAAUUCGUAGAUAUUCGGAGGAACACCAGUGGCGAAGGCGGCUCACUGGCUCGAUACUGACGCUGAGGUGCGAAAGCGUGGGGAGCAAACAGGAUUAGAUA
Molecule: ribosomal RNA, 279 nt
Filed under: uncultured bacterium
Lineage: Bacteria
Description: partial 16S ribosomal RNA
Rfam family: Bacterial small subunit ribosomal RNA
Source: RNAcentral